This is a small nuclear RNA of Cebus imitator (Panamanian white-faced capuchin), 103 nucleotides long. The record is from Ensembl. NCBI's taxonomy places the organism in Eukaryota, Metazoa, Chordata, Mammalia, Primates, Cebidae.
UUGCUUUGGCAGCACAGAUACUAAAAUUGGAACAAUGCUGAGAAGAUUAGCAUGGCCCCUGAGCAAGGUUGACAUGAAAAUUUGUGAAGCAUUCCAUAUUUUU